CACUAACAUAAGUAGUUUGAAUCAUGGCUCAGGACGAACGCUGGCGGCGUGCCUAAUACAUGCAAGUCGAGCGGACAGAAGGGAGCUUGCUCCCGGAUGUUAGCGGCGGACGGGUGAGUAACACGUGGGUAACCUGCCUGUAAGACUGGGAUAACUCCGGGAAACCGGAGCUAAUACCGGAUAGUUCCUUGAACCGCAUGGUUCAAGGAUGAAAGACGGUUUCGGCUGUCACUUACAGAUGGACCCGCGGCGCAUUAGCUAGUUGGUGAGGUAACGGCUCACCAAGGCGACGAUGCGUAGCCGACCUGAGAGGGUGAUCGGCCACACUGGGACUGAGACACGGCCCAGACUCCUACGGGAGGCAGCAGUAGGGAAUCUUCCGCAAUGGACGAAAGUCUGACGGAGCAACGCCGCGUGAGUGAUGAAGGUUUUCGGAUCGUAAAGCUCUGUUGUUAGGGAAGAACAAGUGCAAGAGUAACUGCUUGCACCUUGACGGUACCUAACCAGAAAGCCACGGCUAACUACGUGCCAGCAGCCGCGGUAAUACGUAGGUGGCAAGCGUUGUCCGGAAUUAUUGGGCGUAAAGGGCUCGCAGGCGGUUUCUUAAGUCUGAUGUGAAAGCCCCCGGCUCAACCGGGGAGGGUCAUUGGAAACUGGGAAACUUGAGUGCAGAAGAGGAGAGUGGAAUUCCACGUGUAGCGGUGAAAUGCGUAGAGAUGUGGAGGAACACCAGUGGCGAAGGCGACUCUCUGGUCUGUAACUGACGCUGAGGAGCGAAAGCGUGGGGAGCGAACAGGAUUAGAUACCCUGGUAGUCCACGCCGUAAACGAUGAGUGCUAAGUGUUAGGGGGUUUCCGCCCCUUAGUGCUGCAGCUAACGCAUUAAGCACUCCCCGCCCG
RNAcentral lists this ribosomal RNA (899 nucleotides) under Bacillus xiamenensis. RNAcentral describes it as "bacterial SSU rRNA". It matches the Rfam family "Bacterial small subunit ribosomal RNA", at positions 1 to 875 of the family's 1533-position model. Lineage: Bacteria; Bacillati; Bacillota; Bacilli; Caryophanales; Bacillaceae. The record is from RNAcentral.